This 357-nucleotide unclassified non-coding RNA is filed under the name fungal sp. RNAcentral describes it as "partial internal transcribed spacer region". The stretch from base 1 to 46 matches the Rfam family "Eukaryotic small subunit ribosomal RNA", at positions 1786 to 1831 of the family's 1831-position model. The record is from RNAcentral. Lineage: Eukaryota; Fungi.
AAGUCGUAACAAGGUUUCCGUAGGUGAACCUGCGGAAGGAUAAACAACCCUGUGAACCUUGAACGUGCUCCCAGCCCCAUGAAAUCAGCAAUCCCUGGUAAAUCAUUGUUGACCAGCUUUUGAGUCAGGGACCUCUGCCGAAACGGCUGUUCAGUACCGAGCGCAGUGUAAGCGACCUGGCAUCCCUAAGCGAUCAGUGUGGAUGGCGCAGUAAACGAUUGCUAGAGGCCCACACGGCCGGCAACCGGGUCCCAGGGCUCACGCCCCUUUAUCACCCCACAGUUUCCGACUGGGCAGCCGAUAAUACGGACGCCGUAAAAAACUGAACAACUGUUAACAAUGGAUAUCUUGGUUCUC